AGAGAGUUUUGAUCUCUUAAUUAUAGGUUCAACUCCUAU
Molecule: transfer RNA, 39 nt
Filed under: Pseudacris cadaverina (California treefrog)
Lineage: Eukaryota; Metazoa; Chordata; Amphibia; Anura; Hylidae
Description: partial tRNA-Gln
Source: RNAcentral